Megalops cyprinoides (Indo-Pacific tarpon) is the source of this 529-nucleotide long non-coding RNA. RefSeq lists it as uncharacterized. Lineage: Eukaryota; Metazoa; Chordata; Actinopteri; Elopiformes; Megalopidae. The record is from RefSeq and is a predicted model, not a curated record. The transcript has 4 exons.
UGUUGCUCUGGUGAUGCUGUGUAAGUCUGUCUCUGUGCCCUGUCUGUCAUGUUGCCUUAGCGCUCUCCUCCUUUCAUCUACCUCCAGGUGUGGAGUGAACAGUCACCCUGCUGACUCCGUCUGGGCUUCUCCUCAGGAUGUGACCCCUCUACCUGCGCUGGAGUCUCGGGGUCACCCUGGGAGGUCACCUGGUUGUUUGCUCUUCCCCAUUUUUAUGAAGCCAAAACAGAACAGUAGCCCCCCUACGGCACAUGAAGCCAGCACCUUUCUGGAGGCGAUUCCUCCCGUGCAGAAAUGACAUCAGUAAUUUACUCCAAACAGACACCAGAGCAGCUCAUGGUGUGGAAGGCUAAAUGACCCCCAUGACUCUCUAAAACCAGACGAUGGCAGCAGGAGCAGCUACCUCAGCAGAGGACGAGCUGGACACCAACCCCCCCCCCAGACAGGGUGGAUCCCCUACAGACAGAUGUGGCACAACAGUUGAUCUGAAGACAUCCAUGACAAAAAAUCCAGAAAGUCUUCACCCAGC